UAUAAUUCUUUGAAAGGAAGAGUAAAUAUUACUAAGUAUGUAAAGCGAGUAGAGGAUGGUGGAAGCUCUAUGAGAAAAGUAGUAUUGAAAGACAUCCUGGAGAUAUUUACCUGAAAUGAAAAGUAGGGUAGAUCGGAUUCCUCCGUUAAAGGGAUUGAGAUGAUAAAGUAAAUAAUACUUAAUCAAAUUAGGAUGGUACCGUGAAUAUUGCUUUCGCUCCUAUU
Molecule: non-coding RNA, 224 nt
Filed under: Clostridium sulfidigenes
Lineage: Bacteria; Bacillati; Bacillota; Clostridia; Eubacteriales; Clostridiaceae
Description: T-box sequence
Rfam family: T-box leader
About the family: Uncharged tRNA acts as the effector for transcription antitermination of genes in the T-box leader family. T-boxes are found upstream of many aminoacyl-tRNA synthetase genes and some amino acid biosynthetic genes usually in Gram-positive bacteria. The anticodon of a specific tRNA base pairs to a specifier sequence within the T-box motif, and the NCCA acceptor tail of the tRNA base pairs to a conserved bulge in the T-box antiterminator hairpin.
Source: RNAcentral